Molecule: ribosomal RNA, 570 nt
Filed under: Candida tropicalis
Lineage: Eukaryota; Fungi; Ascomycota; Pichiomycetes; Serinales; Debaryomycetaceae
Description: LSU rRNA
Rfam family: Eukaryotic large subunit ribosomal RNA
Source: RNAcentral
AAACCAACAGGSAUUGCCUUAGUAGCGGCGAGUGAAGCGGCAAAAGCUCAAAUUUGAAAUCUGGCUCUUUCAGAGUCCGAGUUGUAAUUUGAAGAAGGUAUCUUUGGGUCUGGCUCUUGUCUAUGUUUCUUGGAACAGAACGUCACAGAGGGUGAGAAUCCCGUGCGAUGAGAUGAUCCAGGCCUAUGUAAAGUUCCUUCGAAGAGUCGAGUUGUUUGGGAAUGCAGCUCUAAGUGGGUGGUAAAUUCCAUCUAAAGCUAAAUAUUGGCGAGAGACCGAUAGCGAACAAGUACAGUGAUGGAAAGAUGAAAAGAACUUUGAAAAGAGAGUGAAAAAGUACGUGAAAUUGUUGAAAGGGAAGGGCUUGAGAUCAGACUUGGUAUUUUGUAUGUUACUUCUUCGGGGGUGGCCUCUACAGUUUAUCGGGCCAGCAUCAGUUUGGGCGGUAGGAGAAUUGCGUUGGAAUGUGGCACGGCUUCGGUUGUGUGUUAUAGCCUUCGUCGAUACUGCCAGCCUAGACUGAGGACUGCGGUUUAUACCUAGGAUGUUGGCAUAAUGAUCUUAAGUCGC